Molecule: transfer RNA, 71 nt
Filed under: Trichonephila inaurata madagascariensis
Lineage: Eukaryota; Metazoa; Arthropoda; Arachnida; Araneae; Nephilidae
Rfam family: tRNA
About the family: Transfer RNA (tRNA) molecules are approximately 80 nucleotides in length. Their secondary structure includes four short double-helical elements and three loops (D, anti-codon, and T loops).
Source: Rfam by way of RNAcentral
GGGCGUAUAGCUCAGUGGUAGAGCAUUCGACUGCAGAUCGGGUGUCCCCGGUUCAAACCCGGGUGUCCCCU